RNAcentral lists this ribosomal RNA (429 nucleotides) under Gemmatimonadota bacterium. RNAcentral describes it as "Gemmatimonadetes bacterium partial 16S ribosomal RNA". It matches the Rfam family "Bacterial small subunit ribosomal RNA", at positions 355 to 776 of the family's 1533-position model. The record is from RNAcentral. Lineage: Bacteria; Pseudomonadati; Gemmatimonadota.
UAGGGAAUCUUCGGCAAUGGACGAAAGUCUGACCGAGCAACGCCGCGUGAGUGAAGAAGGUUUUCGGAUCGUAAAACUCUGUUGUUAGAGAAGAACAAGGACGUUAGUAACUGAACGUCCCCUGACGGUAUCUAACCAGAAAGCCACGGCUAACUACGUGCCAGCAGCCGCGGUAAUACGUAGGUGGCAAGCGUUGUCCGGAUUUAUUGGGCGUAAAGCGAGCGCAGGCGGUUUCUUAAGUCUGAUGUGAAAGCCCCCGGCUCAACCGGGGAGGGUCAUUGAAAACUGGGAGACUUGGGUGCAGAAGAGGAGAGUAGAAUUGCAUGUGUAGCGGUGAAAUGCGUAGAUAUAUGGAGGAACACCAGUGGCGAAGGCGGCUCUCGGGUCUGUAGCUGACGCUGAGGCUAGAAAGCGUGGGGAGCAAACAGG